Molecule: long non-coding RNA, 911 nt
Filed under: Meleagris gallopavo (turkey)
Lineage: Eukaryota; Metazoa; Chordata; Aves; Galliformes; Phasianidae
Description: lncRNA (ENSMGAG00000022212.1)
Source: RNAcentral
UUCCUAAUUUUAAUAGUAAACUGACACUAUACUUUGAAUUCAUGAUGAAAUGCUAAAAAUGUGUACUCUUCUUUUCUGCCAGUACUCGGCUGACGGAGUUUUUGGCCGUUCUGUGGUGUGUAAUGCAAUCAGCAUGGAAGCAUCGUUGGUCGUUGUGGAUUUUGAGUAAGAUUUCUCACCCUCUGCUCAUGAUGGUGGUGACCAGCUCAGCUGUGUUGGAUGGUAUCGUGGCCAUUGAGGCUCUGCUCACCUGGAUCAACGACAUGGCAGGUGCUCUCGAGGAUCCCCAGGAGAACCGAGAUGGUUCCAGAGUCAGAGAGAAACACCUGCAGAGUGACCUGCUUCAGGAUGAGCUGCUGGGGGAACUAGACGGCCGGGAAAGAGAAGAACUCAUUGCAUGGAUCAGUGCCACGGAGCCACAAAGCCCCGAUGUCUCCAGCAGCCCUGCCCCUCCUUGCUUCAUCGCCCAGCUCCCUGACUUCCCCCAGCACAGCAGGGAGCUCAACGAGGAAGCACGGGCUGCCACCAGGACCCCCAGCGACCCAUUCUGGGGGACCCGCCGCCAUCCCUUGGGCAGCUCCAAGUGCCCCCGACACGUGAGCUGAGGCUGCAGCAGUGCAGCACAGAGCAGGACAAUCUCUUGCUUUGCCUGGAUGGCAGAGCAGGACCUGAUUCACCCAGGGCACUGCGGCCCUUUGGCUUCCAGGGCACACUGCUGACUCACGUUCAACUUGCCAGCGACCAGAACCCUCAGAUCCCUUUCCUCAGUGUCAUUUGCGUUUAUUGUUCUUGAGGUCAAUGCUUUUCAUUCCUUUCAGUUCUACUGAGGAGGGGAUCUGCUUUGUUUCUAUGUUCAGUGCAUCGGUGUGCGUCUGAACGUAGGCCACUGCAGUCUCUCAGCAUCUGCUUAA